CCUACGGGUGGCAGCAGUGAGGAAUAUUGGUCAAUGGGCGAGAGCCUGAACCAGCCAAGUCGCGUGAGGGAGUACUGCCCUAUGGGUUGUAAACCUCUUUUGUCGGGGAGCAAAAGCCGGACGUGUCCGGCUGUGAGAGUACCCGAAGAAAAAGCAUCGGCUAACUCCGUGCCAGCAGCCGCGGUAAUACGGAGGAUGCGAGAGUUAUCCGGAUUUAUGGGGUUUAAAGGGUGGUCAGGCGGAUGUUUAAGUCAGCGGGCAAAUCGUGGGGCUAAACCCCAUCUAGCCGUUGAAACUGGGGAUCUAGAGUGGGCGAGAGGUAGGCGGAAUGCGUGGUGUAGCGGUGAAAUGCAUAGAUAUCACGCAGAACCCCGAUUGCGAAGGCAGCAUACCGGUGCACAACUGACGCUCAGGCACGAAAGCGUGGGUAUCGAACAGGAUUAGAUACCCCGGUAGUC
This 458-nucleotide ribosomal RNA is filed under the name uncultured bacterium. RNAcentral describes it as "partial 16S ribosomal RNA". It matches the Rfam family "Bacterial small subunit ribosomal RNA", at positions 338 to 795 of the family's 1533-position model. The record is from RNAcentral.